Molecule: long non-coding RNA, 1297 nt
Organism: Brassica rapa (field mustard)
Lineage: Eukaryota; Viridiplantae; Streptophyta; Magnoliopsida; Brassicales; Brassicaceae
Source: RefSeq, a predicted model, not a curated record
AAACAUUUUUAAGUUAAAGUGUUUAUUUAUAUUUAAUUAGCUAUUUAAGUUUAGGUUUUAUAUUAAGAGUAUAGACGACUUCCAGAAAAUCUUCUGGUGAUUAGUAUUUCAUUAGUUAGAAGAUUUACCUGAAAGUCUUCUAACUCCCGCAAAAAAUAUUUUAGUUUCUAGAAAGUCUUUUAGGAAAUCUUCUACUAGAAGACUUACUUGAAAGUCUUGAAGUCUUCUACUAGAAGACUUACUUGAAAUUCUUCUAUUAGAAGACCUAAUUGAAAGUUUUUUGAAUCGACAAAAUUUAAUCUUAUUAAAAAUUUUGUCUCCCUUUAUAAAGAAAAUUUACACAUUCUCUUUCUUCUUCUCAAAUGAUUGCAACAAAAAUGUAACGUUUCUCAUUCUAAAACUCUCAAACCUCUCUCUAAUCUCUUUGAACUUUAAAAUACCAAACUUAUAUCAAUUUAUAGUUAUUUCAUGUCUUCUCAUUGAUUUGUUUUGUUUUUACAAGUUUUUCAUUACAUGGUUCUCAUCUUCCACUCUUUUAAAGGUAGAUCUAUAAAUCAUAUUUUCUUAUUUGGUAACCUACUGUUGUUUAAAACUCUUACUUUUGAAAAAUUCUUUUGGUUGUUUUAAGCUCUUACCUUAUUUUUGAAAUUUUUCUAUGUUUUGAAGCCAUUUGAGACAGACUUGAAAAACUUUCAAGGAAGUCUUCUCGGAAGUCUUCUAACAUUUAAUGCACUAGACGACUUCCUGGAAGUCUUCUGGCAAAGUCUUUUUCCAUGUCAAGUGGAAAGCUUGUCUUUGUGGAGGAAUGAACUAUACUCCCUCUGUUUCAUAUUAAGUGUCACUUUAGCUCAGUUUUUCUUGUUUUACAAAGAAUGUCAUUCUACAAUACCAAUGCAAUUUAUACAACCUUUCAGCUCAACAUUAAUUGCAAAAUGCAUUGAUUUUAUAAAUAAAUUGAAUUAUCUAAAAUACUAUUGGUUAAAUAUGUGAUAUUAAUGAAAACAUAAAUACAUUUUAAUGAACUCCUUAAUAUGUGUGAAAAUUGUCUAAGUGACACUCUUUGUGAAACAGAUGGAGUAAUAGUUUUGUUUAUGGUAUGUUUUGUAAUUUACAUGUGUACUCUUUUAGUUGUGAAUUCUUUUGUAAAUUUGAAAAAUUAUUAAUAAAAAGAUUAGGUAAAUAUGUUCAUGUUUACAAUAUUGUCUUGCCAAAAGUAUUUGACAUUAUUGAAGUUAUUGAUACAAUUUAAAUAGAAAACACAAUAACACAAAAAAUAGUCAAAUUUACUACAACUAAU